ACCCAGACUCCUACGGGAGGCAGCAGUGGGGAAUAUUGCACAAUGGGGGAAACCCUGAUGCAGCGACGCCGCGUGAGCGAUGAAGUAUUUCGGUAUGUAAAGCUCUAUCAGCAGGGAAGAAGAUGACGGUACCUGACUAAGAAGCCCCGGCUAACUACGUGCCAGCAGCCGCGGUAAUACGUAGGGGGCAAGCGUUAUCCGGAUUUACUGGGUGUAAAGGGAGCGUAGACGGCGAUGCAAGCCAGAUGUGAAAGCCCGGGGCUCAACCCCGGGACUGCAUUUGGAACUGUGUGGCUGGAGUGUCGGAGAGGCAGGCGGAAUUCCUAGUGUAGCGGUGAAAUGCGUAGAUAUUAGGAGGAACACCAGUGGCGAAGGCGGCCUGCUGGACGAUGACUGACGUUGAGGCUCGAAAGCGUGGGGAGCAAACAGGAUUAGAUACCCUAGUA
This 446-nucleotide ribosomal RNA is filed under the name uncultured bacterium. RNAcentral's name for it is "bacterial SSU rRNA". It matches the Rfam family "Bacterial small subunit ribosomal RNA", at positions 329 to 792 of the family's 1533-position model. The record is from RNAcentral.